GAGGAAUAUUGGUCAAUGGGCGCAAGCCUGAACCAGCCAAGUAGCGUGCAGGAAGACGGCCCUAUGGGUUGUAAACUGCUUUUAUGCGAGAAUAAUUUGAUGCACGUGUGCGUUAUUGCAUGUAUCGUAUGAAUAAGGACCGGCUAAUUCCGUGCCAGCAGCCGCGGUAAUACGGAAGGUCCAGGCGUUAUCCGGAUUUAUUGGGUUUAAAGGGAGUGUAGGCGGUUUGUUAAGCGUGUUGUGAAAUUUAGAUGCUCAACAUUUAACUUGCAGCGCGAACUGUCAGACUUGAGUACACGCAACGUAUGCGGAAUUCAUGGUGUAGCGGUGAAAUGCUUAGAUAUCAUGAAGAACUCCGAUUGCGAAGGCAGCAUACGGGAGUGUAACUGACGCUUAAGCUCGAAGGUGCGGGUAUCGAACAGGAUUAGAUACCCUGGUAGUCCGCACAGUAAACGAUGGAUGCCCGCUGUUAGCGCCUGGCGUUAGCGGCUAAGCGAAAGCAUUAAGCAUCCCACCUGGGGAGUACGCCGGCAACGGUG
Molecule: ribosomal RNA, 539 nt
Filed under: uncultured bacterium
Lineage: Bacteria
Description: bacterial SSU rRNA
Rfam family: Bacterial small subunit ribosomal RNA
Source: RNAcentral